CAGUAGCCGCGGGAAUACGUAGGUGGCAAGCGUUGUCCGGAAUUAUUGGGCGUAAAGGGCUCGCAGGCGGUUUCUUAAGUCUGAUGUGAAAGCCCCCGGCUCGACCGGGGAGGGUCAUUGGAAACUGGGAAACUUGAGUGCAGAAGAGGAGAGUGGAAUUCCACGUGUAGCGGUGAAAUGCGUAGAGAUGUGGAGGAACACCAGUGGCGAAGGCGACUCUCUGGUCUGUAACUGACGCUGAGGAGCGAAAGCGUGGGGAGCGAACAGGAUUAGAUACCCCCGUAGUCCCUGUCUCUUAUAC
RNAcentral lists this ribosomal RNA (301 nucleotides) under uncultured bacterium. RNAcentral describes it as "partial 16S ribosomal RNA". It matches the Rfam family "Bacterial small subunit ribosomal RNA", at positions 509 to 807 of the family's 1533-position model. The record is from RNAcentral.